UACGGAGGGUGCGAACGUUAAUCGGAAUCACUGGGCGUAAAGCGUGCGCAGGCGGCUUUGCAAGACAGAUGUGAAAUCCCCGGGCUUAACCUGGGAACUGCAUUUGUGACUGCAUGGCUGGAGUGCGGCAGAGGGGGAUGGAAUUCCGCGUGUAGCAGUGAAAUGCGUAGAUAUGCGGAGGAACACCGAUGGCGAAGGCAAUCCCCUGGGCCUGCACUGACGCUCAUGCACGAAAGCGUGGGGAGCAAACAGG
This 253-nucleotide ribosomal RNA is filed under the name uncultured bacterium. Its description in RNAcentral is "partial 16S ribosomal RNA". It matches the Rfam family "Bacterial small subunit ribosomal RNA", at positions 524 to 776 of the family's 1533-position model. The record is from RNAcentral.